AGAGUUUGAUCCUGGCUCAGAUUGAACGCUGGCGGCAGGCCUAACACAUGCAAGUCGAGCGGAAACGAGUUAUCUGAACCUUCGGGGAACGAUAACGGCGUCGAGCGGCGGACGGGUGAGUAAUGCCUAGGAAAUUGCCCUGAUGUGGGGGAUAACCAUUGGAAACGAUGGCUAAUACCGCAUAAUACCUACGGGUCAAAGAGGGGGACCUUCGGGCCUCUCGCGUCAGGAUAUGCCUAGGUGGGAUUAGCUAGUUGGUGAGGUAAUGGCUCACCAAGGCGACGAUCCCUAGCUGGUCUGAGAGGAUGAUCAGCCACACUGGAACUGAGACACGGUCCAGACUCCUACGGGAGGCAGCAGUGGGGAAUAUUGCACAAUGGGCGCAAGCCUGAUGCAGCCAUGCCGCGUGUGUGAAGAAGGCCUUCGGGUUGUAAAGCACUUUCAGUCGUGAGGAAGGUGGUGUAGUUAAUAGCUGCAUUAUUUGACGUUAGCGACAGAAGAAGUACCGGCUAACUCCGUGCCAGCAGCCGCGGUAAU
RNAcentral lists this ribosomal RNA (537 nucleotides) under uncultured bacterium. RNAcentral's name for it is "bacterial SSU rRNA". It matches the Rfam family "Bacterial small subunit ribosomal RNA", at positions 8 to 524 of the family's 1533-position model. The record is from RNAcentral.